GAUAGGAGAAUGACAAAUCAGAUUUUUUCUUCUGAUUUUUACCUUUUUCCUCCUGAAAAAAAAAAUCAAAUCCAACUAAAAAGACUAAAAAUCAAGAGAAAAAAUCUAAUUUGUCAUUCUCUUAUU
RNAcentral lists this microRNA precursor (126 nucleotides) under Gossypium arboreum. RNAcentral's name for it is "MIR7504 microRNA precursor family". It matches the Rfam family "MIR7504 microRNA precursor family". The record is from Rfam by way of RNAcentral. Lineage: Eukaryota; Viridiplantae; Streptophyta; Magnoliopsida; Malvales; Malvaceae.